Molecule: ribosomal RNA, 243 nt
Filed under: uncultured bacterium
Lineage: Bacteria
Description: partial 16S ribosomal RNA
Rfam family: Bacterial small subunit ribosomal RNA
Source: RNAcentral
AGGAUCCAAGCGUUAUCCGGAUUUAUUGGGUUUAAAGGGUGCGUAGGCGGCACGCUAAGUCAGGGGUGAAAUACGGUGGCUCAACCAUCGCAGUGCCUUUGAUACUGGUGUGCUUGAAUGCGGAUGAGGUAGGCGGAAUGAGACAAGUAGCGGUGAAAUGCAUAGAUAUGUCUCAGAACUCCGAUUGCGAAGGCAGCUUACUAAGUCGUGAUUGACGCUGAUGCACGAAAGCGUGGGGAUCAA